RNAcentral lists this long non-coding RNA (420 nucleotides) under Citrus x clementina. Its description in RNAcentral is "Citrus clementina (C. clementina) long non-coding RNA (CCLE_LNC001685)". The record is from RNAcentral. Lineage: Eukaryota; Viridiplantae; Streptophyta; Magnoliopsida; Sapindales; Rutaceae.
AAGUUCGUCCAGCGGAAAAAGGCCACAAAAACGUGUGGGCUAUAGCCUUGGGGGGUGGGGCUGGCCAACCUUGUCCGCCGGACACGGAAUGCGACGAGACCUUGUGAGGGGCCUCCGUGUGCCAAAAAUAGACCGCGGGCAAAGCCGCGCAAAAAAUAACAGCCCGAAGGCCGGGGCGCCAAGUUCGUCCAGCGGAAAAAGGCCACAAAAACGGGUGGGCUAUAGCCUUGGGGGGUGGGGCUGGCCCACUUCGUCCGCCAGACUCGGAAUGCCGCAAGACUUUGCGAGGGGCCUCCGUGUGCCAAAAAUAGGCCGCGGCCAAAGUCGCGCCCAAAAAUAACCGCCCGAAGGCCGGGGCGCCAGGUUCGUCCAGCGGAAAAAGGCCACAAAAACGGGUGGGCUAUAGCCUUGGGGGGUGGG